AUGAACGCUGGCGGCGUGCCUAAUACCUGCAAGUCGCGCGAACAGACGAGGAGCUUGCUCCUCUGACGUUAGCGGCGGACGGGUGAGUAACACGUGGAUAACCUACCUAUAAGACUGGGAUAACUUCGGGAAACCGGAGCUAAUACCGGAUAAUAUAUUGAACCGCAUGGUUCAAUAGUGUAAGACGGUUUUGCUGUCACUUAUAGAUGGAUCCGCGCCGCAUUAGCUAGUUGGUAAGGUAACGGCUUACCAAGGCAACGAUGCGUAGCCGACCUGAGAGGGUGAUCGGCCACACUGGAACUGGGACACGGUCCAGACUCCUACGGGAGGCAGCAGUAGGGAAUCUUCCGCAAUGGGCGAAAGCCUGACGGAGCAACGCCGCGUGAGUGAUGAAGGUCUUCGGAUCGUAAAACUCUGUUAUUAGGGAAGAACAAAUGUGUAAGUAACUAUGCACGUCUUGACGGUACCUAAUCAGAAAGCCACGGCUAACUACGUG
This 496-nucleotide ribosomal RNA is filed under the name uncultured bacterium. RNAcentral describes it as "partial 16S ribosomal RNA". It matches the Rfam family "Bacterial small subunit ribosomal RNA", at positions 29 to 507 of the family's 1533-position model. The record is from RNAcentral.